This 820-nucleotide ribosomal RNA is filed under the name uncultured Desulfobulbus sp. RNAcentral describes it as "bacterial SSU rRNA". It matches the Rfam family "Bacterial small subunit ribosomal RNA", at positions 36 to 840 of the family's 1533-position model. The record is from RNAcentral. Lineage: Bacteria; Pseudomonadati; Thermodesulfobacteriota; Desulfobulbia; Desulfobulbales; Desulfobulbaceae.
CUGGGGGUGCUUACCAUGCAAGUCGAACGCGAAAGAGACUUCGGUCUUGAGUAGAGUGGCGCACGGGUGAGUAACGCGUAGAUAACCUGUCUUAGUGUCUGGAAUAAUACACCGAAAGGGGUACUAAUACCGGAUAUUCUUGCUUUUCAUAAGGUUUGCAAGCAAAGGUGGCCUCUGAUUCAAGCUAUCGCAUUAAGAGGGGUCUGCGUACCAUUAGCUAGUAGGUGGGGUAAUGGCCUACCUAGGCAACGAUGGUUAGCGGGUCUGAGAGGAUGAUCCGCCACACUGGCACUGGAACACGGGCCAGACUCCUACGGGAGGCAGCAGUGAGGAAUAUUGCGCAAUGGGGGCAACCCUGACGCAGCGACGCCGCGUGAGUGAGGAAGGCCCUCGGGUCGUAAAGCUCUGUCAAGAGGAAAGAAGUGCAUAGCGGUUAAUACCCGUUGUGUUUGACGGUACCUCUAAAGGAAGCACCGGCUAACUCCGUGCCAGCAGCCGCGGUAAUACGGAGGGUGCAAGCGUUGUUCGGAAUCACUGGGCGUAAAGGGCGCGCAGGCGGCUUGGUAAGUCAGAUGUGAAAGCCCACGGCUUAACCGUGGAAGUGCAUUUGAAACUGUCAGGCUUGAGUACCAGAGGGGAAAGUGGAAUUCCCGGUGUAGAGGUGAAAUUCGUAGAUAUCGGGAGGAAUACCGGUGGCGAAGGCGACUUUCUGGCUGAGUACUGACGCUGAGGCGCGAAAGCGUGGGGAGCAAACAGGAUUAGAUACCCUGGUAGUCCACGCCGUAAACGAUGUCACUAGAUGUAGGGGUGUUGAUCCCCU